Molecule: non-coding RNA, 73 nt
Organism: Ameiurus melas (black bullhead)
Lineage: Eukaryota; Metazoa; Chordata; Actinopteri; Siluriformes; Ictaluridae
Source: the annotation of a GenBank genome assembly
GGCACAUUGGCUUAGUGGUUAGCACUUUGGCCUCACAACUCCAGGGUUGGGGGUUUGAAUCCCGCCUCUGCCC